GGCUGGCGUUAAAGAGGAACAAUCUCAUGCGGACGGGCCUAGCGGAAGUCCGGUAGACCCGAUCGUACUCGUGCAUCAUGUGCUCCAAGUCGUCGUCGUUGGUGACAGAGAUCAGGGCGUCGAGGUCUUCGCCGGGGAGCUGGUACUUGAACGACACGUCGGUUUCGGAGAGGGAGGAGAGCUUGGAGACGAGAGCGGCGAACUUGGUGCUGCGAUCAACGGCGAGGAUCUUAGUCUCACCGCCAACGUAGCAGAGCUGGUUGUCGUGCGGGCGGGGGAGGAUCUUGCCGCCAUAGC
This 297-nucleotide long non-coding RNA is filed under the name Prunus persica (peach). RNAcentral describes it as "long non-coding RNA (PPER_LNC008245)". The record is from RNAcentral. Lineage: Eukaryota; Viridiplantae; Streptophyta; Magnoliopsida; Rosales; Rosaceae.